GAGGGUAUUGCCGGAUUUAUCACUAUUUUUCGUUGUUUUGGAUUAAAACGUGGGAUGCUUUUUGAAGAGUGGACCCUUACGUUGCAAUGUACGUUGAAGUUUUUGGGAAUUGUCAGAGAUGAUCAGAACCAUAUGGCAAGACAUUGUCAAGUCUGUGCUCAUCAAGACAUGAAGACUCUGGAGUGGGACAAAAGAAGGAUGAUGUGGUGUAUAUUCCAAUAUACACAUUAAGUGAAAGCUGAUAAAUACAGAGAGCUGGACACUGGUUUCAUUGAUUAGGUAAAGAGGUGGGACAAGGAUGCUGACAGGACAGGAGGUGGUGACAUUCAGGUUAGUGACAGUACAUCGGGGCCACCAUUUAAUUUAAUGUUAAUUUGUGUGCUUGCUUUUACUUCAUGUGUUAGUGUGUCAUUUAAUUUUGACAAACUCCAGAAUCAAUACUUGACAAAUCUUUACAAUCAUAUUUGCAAAGCUGACUUUCUCAUAGGUGGAUGAGGUAUGACAGCAAUUGUGAAGACCUUAGACGUGCAGUAUAUGGUUCUUCUCACAAAUUGAUGUUUAUUCCCUUCUCUAUCCUUUAUAUUGAUUUGACUUAGUUUUCUUGGUAAAUAAUAAUGGGGAUAUUCCUUAUAUAAUAUAUUUUAAGUACAUGCUAAGAACAUAUCUCAUUUGCUUUUAAGUUCCUACAUGAAAAUUAUGUCUUUAAGUUCUAAGCUAUGUUUCAUUUUAUUUAGACAUUUAGCGCAAACACUUUCGUCCAAAGCAACUUGAGGAAGAAAACAAGAAGCAGUUCACCCUAAAAAAUUGCUUUAUAAUUAAAGUUGUUGGUGUUAGAUUCAUGCCAAUAAUGUAUUUGAACAAACUAGUAUUUUUGUUUAUUGCUGGCAUUUUAUACUAGAAUAAUUUUAACACAUACAAUGUAUGUUUCGUGGUGUUUUUGACUUGUGUGUUAUUGAU
Molecule: non-coding RNA, 957 nt
Organism: Paramisgurnus dabryanus
Lineage: Eukaryota; Metazoa; Chordata; Actinopteri; Cypriniformes; Cobitidae
Source: RefSeq, a predicted model, not a curated record